Molecule: ribosomal RNA, 267 nt
Filed under: uncultured bacterium
Lineage: Bacteria
Description: partial 16S ribosomal RNA
Rfam family: Bacterial small subunit ribosomal RNA
Source: RNAcentral
AUUGAACGCUGGCGGCAUGCCUUACACAUGCAAGUCGAACGGCAGCACGGGAGCAAUCCUGGUGGCGAGUGGCGAACGGGUGAGUAAUAUAUCGGAACGUUGCCCAGUCGUGGGGAUAACGUAGCGAAAGCUACGCUAAUACCGCAUACGAUCUAUGGAUGAAAGCGGGGAUCGCAAGACCUCGCGCGAUUGGAGCGGCCGAUAUCAGAUUAGGUAGUUGGUGAGGUAAAGGCUCACCCAAGCCGACGAUCUGUAGCUGGUCUGAGA